This 954-nucleotide ribosomal RNA is filed under the name uncultured bacterium. RNAcentral's name for it is "bacterial SSU rRNA". It matches the Rfam family "Bacterial small subunit ribosomal RNA", at positions 54 to 999 of the family's 1533-position model. The record is from RNAcentral.
CAUGCAAGUCGAGGGGCAGCAUGAUUUGUAGCAAUACAGAUUGAUGGCGACCGGCGCACGGGUGAGUAACGCGUACGCAACUUACCUAUCAGAGGGGGAUAGCCCGGCGAAAGUCGGAUUAAUACCCCAUAAAACAGGGGUCCCGCAUGGGAAUAUUUGUUAAAGAUUCAUCGCUGAUAGAUAGGCAUGCGUUCCAUUAGGCAGUUGGCGGGGUAACGGCCCACCAAACCGACGAUGGAUAGGGGUUCUGAGAGGAAGGUCCCCCACAUUGGUACUGAGACACGGACCAAACUCCUACGGGAGGCAGCAGUGAGGAAUAUUGGUCAAUGGCCGAGAGGCUGAACCAGCCAAGUCGCGUGAAGGAAGAAGGAUCUAUGGUUUGUAAACUUCUUUUAUAGGGGAAUAAAGUGGAGGACGUGUCCUUUUUUGUAUGUACCCUAUGAAUAAGCAUCGGCUAACUCCGUGCCAGCAGCCGCGGUAAUACGGAGGAUGCGAGCGUUAUCCGGAUUUAUUGGGUUUAAAGGGUGCGUAGGUGGUGAUUUAAGUCAGCGGUGAAAGUUUGUGGCUCAACCAUAAAAUUGCCGUUGAAACUGGGUUACUUGAGUGUGUUUGAGGUAGGCGGAAUGCGUGGUGUAGCGGUGAAAUGCAUAGAUAUCACGCAGAACUCCGAUUGCGAAGGCAGCUUACUAAACCAUAACUGACACUGAAGCACGAAAGCGUGGGGAUCAAACAGGAUUAGAUACCCUGGUAGUCCACGCAGUAAACGAUGAUUACUAGGAGUUUGCGAUACAAUGUAAGCUCUACAGCGAAAGCGUUAAGUAAUCCACCUGGGGAGUACGCCGGCAACGGUGAAACUCAAAGGAAUUGACGGGGGCCCGCACAAGCGGAGGAACAUGUGGUUUAAUUCGAUGAUACGCGAGGAACCUUACCCGGGUUUGAACGUAGUCUGACCGG